This 77-nucleotide transfer RNA is filed under the name Botryobasidium botryosum FD-172 SS1. It matches the Rfam family "tRNA". Rfam says of the family: Transfer RNA (tRNA) molecules are approximately 80 nucleotides in length. The record is from Rfam by way of RNAcentral. Lineage: Eukaryota; Fungi; Basidiomycota; Agaricomycetes; Cantharellales; Botryobasidiaceae.
GCGUUGAUGGGGUAGUGGUAACCUUGGUCGUUGCCACCCGUCUCGACCAGCCGGGGGUUCGAUUCCCUCUCAACGCA